GACGAACGCUGGCGGCGUGCUUAACACAUGCAAGUCGAACGGAAAGGCCCUGCUUUUGUGGGGUGCUCGAGUGGCGAACGGGUGAGUAACACGUGAGUAACCUGCCCUUGACUUUGGGAUAACUUCAGGAAACUGGGGCUAAUACCGGAUAGGAGCUCCUGCUGCAUGGUGGGGGUUGGAAAGUUUCGGCGGUUGGGGAUGGACUCGCGGCGUAUCAGCUUGUUGGUGGGGUAGUGGCUUACCAAGGCUUUGACGGGUAGCCGGCCUGAGAGGGUGACCGGACACAUUGGGACUGAGAUACGGCCCAGACUCCUACGGGAGGCAGCAGUGGGGAAUAUUGCACAAUGGGCGGAAGCCUGAUGCAGCAACGCCGCGUGCGGGAUGACGGCCUUCGGGUUGUAAACCGCUUUCGCCUGUGACGAAGCGUGAGUGACGGUAAUGGGUAAAGAAGCACCGGCUAACUACGUG
RNAcentral lists this ribosomal RNA (468 nucleotides) under uncultured bacterium. RNAcentral's name for it is "partial 16S ribosomal RNA". It matches the Rfam family "Bacterial small subunit ribosomal RNA", at positions 28 to 507 of the family's 1533-position model. The record is from RNAcentral.